RNAcentral lists this long non-coding RNA (877 nucleotides) under Xyrichtys novacula (pearly razorfish). Lineage: Eukaryota; Metazoa; Chordata; Actinopteri; Labriformes; Labridae. The record is from RNAcentral.
AUGACGUCCUUGGUUGAGACGAUCCCCUAGCUGUCGGUAUGUACCUGCACACUGUUUGUACCACAAUCCAAGUUAAUCAACAUCUUAUAAGUUAUCAAUCUGAUCCAUCCUUUUCAUUACAUUGUUUUCACAGACUCUUCUUCUCGCCAUGAGGGCCAAGGUUUGUGUUUUGUAUUUAUAUUCACAUAAAGACUGUUUUAAGUGAUGCUAGCACUUGCUAGCAAGCAAGCAGUGGCCGUCGUAACAUAUUUACUAAAGCAUUUCACCCAAAGAUAUGUUUUUUCAGUAUUCAUAUAGAUAAAUUUGUUUGUGUAUACCAUUUUUUGGCCAAAAUUGAAUGUAUGGCUGGAACAGUUAAAUAAUAUCUUGUGUUUCUCUGUCGUAGUGGAGAAAGAAGCGCAUGCGCAGGUGAGUUUUAAUGGCUCGUGGUUUUAGCUGUGCAGUAUUAACAUGUCUAUUCCAGUUAAAACUCUUAUUUUGAGGAUAUUUAGCUAACAAAAUUGUGUCAUGUUCCAGACUGAAGCGCAAAAGGAGAAAGAUGAGGCAGAGGUCUAAGUAAACAGUCCUCUCCGCCCUGGCUCUGUGACAGCACAUGUUACUAACAGCCAGACCAGUAAGUUCAACUGGAGACCCAGGACCCUUCCGUUGACAACAAGGAGGCCAGUGGCACCAUGAUCAACCUGAGGUGGUGAAGCUGCAGCAGCUGAGUGAUGCUGGAGAGCUGAUUCAAGACCUGCUGCUUUAUAAGCUUCAACCUGGGACUUUCUGGACUCUUUGUUCUUGAUUCCUCAACUUUUGUCACGUUUGUGUUUAUACUUUGAUUAAAGGUUUUGGUUUAGAAAACAACGGAUUUUGGUUUUUGUUCCUUUUUUUCAAA